RNAcentral lists this transfer RNA (154 nucleotides) under Belgica antarctica. RNAcentral describes it as "tRNA IU25_tRNA_129". The record is from RNAcentral. Lineage: Eukaryota; Metazoa; Arthropoda; Insecta; Diptera; Chironomidae.
AAGCUUUUAAAGUUUUCAAACCUCAACGUCCAAUUUUCUCAUAAAACUUUUGAUCUUUGUCAGGGUUUCAACAUUGCAUAAUUCAAUAUUUACGUUUGCUUUGAAGCUUUGACUCUUAAUGGAAAUCAAGACCUUCCAUAAGCCUUAAAGCUUA